Molecule: ribosomal RNA, 497 nt
Filed under: uncultured bacterium
Lineage: Bacteria
Description: partial 16S ribosomal RNA
Rfam family: Bacterial small subunit ribosomal RNA
Source: RNAcentral
GAUGAACGCUGGCGGCGUGCCUAAUACAUGCAAGUCGAGCGAACGGACGAGAAGCUUGCUUCUCUGAUGUUAGCGGCGGACGGGUGAGUAACACGUGGAUAACCUACCUAUAAGACUGGGAUAACUUCGGGAAACCGUAGCUAAUACCGGAUAAUAUUUUGAACCGCAUGGUUCAAAAGUGAAAGACGGUCUUGCUGUCACUUAUAGAUGGAUCCGCGCUGCAUUAGCUAGUUGGUAAGGUAACGGCUUACCAAGGCAACGAUGCAUAGCCGACCUGAGAGGGUGAUCGGCAACACUGGAACUGAGACACGGUCCAGACUCCUACGGGAGGCAGCAGUAGGGAAUCUUCCGCAAUGGGCGAAAGCCUGACGGAGCAACGCCGCGUGAGUGAUGAAGGUCUUCGGAUCGUAAAACUCUGUUAUUAGGGAAGAACAGAGGUGUAAGAAAAUGUGCACAUCUUGACGGUACCUAAUCAGAAAGCCACGGCUAACUACGUG